This is a small nuclear RNA of Artibeus jamaicensis (Jamaican fruit-eating bat), 103 nucleotides long. The record is from RefSeq and is a predicted model, not a curated record. NCBI's taxonomy places the organism in Eukaryota, Metazoa, Chordata, Mammalia, Chiroptera, Phyllostomidae.
UUGUUUCGGCAACAUAUAUAUAAAAAUUGCAAGGAUACAGAGAAGAUUAAUGUGGCCUCUGCACAAGGAUGACAUGCACAUUUGUGAAGCGUUCUGUAUACAA